RNAcentral lists this ribosomal RNA (200 nucleotides) under uncultured bacterium. RNAcentral describes it as "partial 16S ribosomal RNA". It matches the Rfam family "Bacterial small subunit ribosomal RNA", at positions 30 to 230 of the family's 1533-position model. The record is from RNAcentral.
AUUGAACGCUGGCGGCAUGCCUUACACAUGCAAGUCGAACGGCAGCACGGGAGCAAUCCUGGUGGCGAGUGGCGAAUGGGUGAGUAAUAUAUCGGAACGUGCCCAGUAGUGGGGGAUAGCCCGGCGAAAGCCGGAUUAAUACCGCAUACGACCUCAGGGUGAAAGCGGGGGAUCGCAAGACCUCGCGCUAUUGGAGCGGC